CGCCCCUCCUUCCCGUCCCCGUCGGCCCCACUCUCUCCGCCAACUCGGCGCUGCCGACACCGCGCUCGCCGACGCCGUCACGACUCACGCCUGCCCGCGCUCCGCCGACCCGUGCGCCCCUCCUCCGCCAGCUUGGUGCCGCCGACCCGCGCGCCUCUCUCCGCCAGCCCGUGCGUUGAAUCUAUGUUUUAUAAGAAUCUCCCCCACGUACUCCACCUCUCCGCCGUGCCGCCGCACGUGGAUCUGCUCCGCCGCCGCGCGCUGCCCUUGGACGCCUCGCAAACCGACGCUCGCGGACAUGCGUGAACUCACCAUCGCGCCGCUUCCUCUGCUUCCAGUGCCUCUGCCGCCAUCCCGCUUCACUCCUUCCGUCUCUCUCCCUCCGCCAGGCGUGGAUGCAGGCGGUGUUGGCGCUAGGUGUGGUAGCACGAGAGGAACCGCCUCCUCCCCCUACGCUCACCGGCCUCCUCACGCUCGCAGUCAAUUUCCACCUCCCCACCUCUAGAACACAUUCAUGACAGCAAGCUCUCGCCAACCGUGUCUCUUCCCGCCUCCCUUUCCCCAGCGGGAACGCCAGGCCUGCUGCCGAUCUGCCCAAGGCUAGAGGACGCAGCAGCAGUUGCAGAGUCCGAGGCCGCAAGGCAAUGGCCGUCAUCUUUGCUUGCCAGGUCGAAUGCCUGAUGGAUCUGCACAGCGUAUUGGGAAAAUGGAUCGGCUCAGCUCCAUGGGAGGUUGAAAUCAGAACAAAAGCGGCUCGAUUCUUGCUCGAAACUCAAGGCGUCUCGUCCAAUUGAUAAGCAUGCUGUGAAAAGAAAAUUUUGACGAUGGAAUGAGAAAUUAUUCAUUGAUGAUCUGAAAAUGUUUAAUUAUGGUUUCUUGGUAUUACUGUGCUCUUUUAUUUGGUGGCCUACCUGGGUUAGGGUUAUUACUAUUAUAGUAUUAUGGUAUAUAAGCCUCCUGGUCACAAAAACAGUACAUCAUUACAGCUAGGCAUUCCAUAAUUCAUAAUAUGUGGUACUAGCUCUGAUUUAGUGCUCGGCUUCAUAUGCAGCUAAGAUCCUAAAAAGUUUUAAGGCAGAGAUGAAGAUGAUCAUAGCAUGGAAGCUGAUUUUUCUAGCAAAGAGAAAAGAGACAAGAAGUGCAGCGCUUGCAAGGAAAGAGGAUCAGGAGCAACUCGUCCUGAUCCAGGAAGAAGAGAGGGAGCGUGUGAUGAAGAAGAAAAGGGUAGCACACAAGGAAUAGUAGAAGCGGUCAGGGUACUAGAAACAGCCCUGCCAAGCGUAGGGAUUUAGGUUUAGUUUGUGGCCAGGUAGGCAUCUAGGCUUCUGGAAGCCUGCUCCUAAGAACUGCAAAAAAUUUAGAACUCAGCACUUUCUUCAUGUCAUGUCCUUUUUUGGUCAUCAUCCAUAGAUCAUGGCAGCUGGUUUUGCUUCACGUAUGACCUGUGAUUAAUUAACUAUUUUUGCAGUGUCAAUUGAUUUCUAUAUUACAAUACCUUAGGUGUCACUGUUAUCCUUCAUUUGGUGAUCAAAAGAUUUUUUUUGAGAGCUUGGUGAUCAAACGAUCUGUGUCAGUUUUAUGUUAAUGUUUUCUAUAUGAAAGAUAUAAACUGAAUUGCUCUAAAAGACAUAUUGUACCAGAUAAAUGCAGCUGCAGCAGUCAGCGUUACUUAAUGCACCCAGAUCAAACUCAAAGGAAAAAUGGUCCUGUCAAACUUGGAAUGGAGCCAACUAUGGAAACAGUUUUUCUGUCAGACAGAUAUUUCUGUUAGUUUAUGAUUAUGAGAAGCACUUAGGAGUGUUGAUUAAUUCUUCAUUUCCAAUUUAUUUGACUUGCAAGUUGUUCACUAAGAAUGAUGCUUUAGCGAGACUAUGAACUUUGAUAGACAGAGGCAGAGGAACAAGCAGAAUGAGAUGACUAAAGAAGCAGGUUGAAUGAGCAGGAAUUGAUCAAAAAUGAACAUCUCUCAGUUACAAAUUGACAGUUAUUGGGAUGGGACUGGGUCACUGAGCACAGGAGAGUUAUCCAGUACCAAAUCUGGAGAAGUCAUAUCUGUGUUGUGUUCCUCUUCAUCUGCUUUUAAAGGCAAAGGGGUCUUUGGCAUAGACUGAGAUAAUGCCUGAGGAGCAUGCGAGGCUUAUUUUUUUUCUUUCUUUUCAGAAAUCAAACUGUUCAUUUUGUACUGAUAGACAUUUAUUUUUAGUUUAUUUUAGUAGCAUAAAGUAUCUCAACUCUACGAUUCUUUUAUCUGAUUCACUUAUUUUUGAAGAAUAAUUAAUUCGUUUGAUUCAAAAUGCAGAGUUCUUUGUGAAAUCA
Panicum virgatum (switchgrass) is the source of this 2316-nucleotide long non-coding RNA. RefSeq lists it as uncharacterized. The transcript has 7 exons. NCBI's taxonomy places the organism in Eukaryota, Viridiplantae, Streptophyta, Magnoliopsida, Poales, Poaceae. The record is from RefSeq and is a predicted model, not a curated record.